UGUGGCCCUCCGAGCCACAUCGCUUUAGUUAGAGGGAUGUUGGCUCCAAGUUUCUUCAGGUGAGAAUGACGCAGCAAGUAAUCUGCAUCUUCCCUACAUCUUCAUUCACGGAGCUAGAGCUCGGUAUCAGGGCAGCGCCCACACCUGACUACAGCCAUAAGGCAGCCCUGCCCAACAGCCCUGGAGAGUCCUGGAGGUAAGAGGCUGGAGGUUAAGAAAUUGGGGGUUGGAAACAGCUGUGGAAAUCCAACAGCCAGAAAAGGCUUGCCAGCCCGUUUCCAGAUGCAGCUGAGUUUGCUGAGCACCACACAGACCCCCGCUGACUGCUGAUGCCCCACACUUGUCUCUGUUGGACUCCUAACCUCCUCCUCUCCAGUUAAUGCUUCAGGCAGCCAAAGGCCUGGGGGACCCACCCCCACCCCUCAAGCAAGCUGUGGAGCUGCUCAGUGCUCUAGGCAGGCUCAGCAGCAGCAGAAGCAGCAGAGUCCAUUGCUCAGCGCUUUGUGAUGAUGCUGCUUCUGAGUAACAGAUGGCAGACAGUUACACAACACCACCGCCAAGCUCUUGAGAUGGUGCAGCCCCACACUGCCUGCUGCUGAGGUUCCAGUUCUGCCCCUGUAUAACGGGGCAUUCCUGCGAAGAACCCCUCAGCUGACACAUUUCCGGGUCUAACCCGCCUUUUCCCCUGGAGUUGGACUCUGCGCCGCCGCUCCUGUCGUUGAUCCUGUCAAAAAAAUCACACGUCCCGGGUCUCCUACCAAGGCUUUUUCUGCACUGAGCAAUGGAAUCAUCUGGGCUGAGUGCAAAGGAGAAGGAGCUAUUACCAACCCCAUGCCCGCCCUUUCGGCCACGUUGGUACCUUUUCAUCAGAGGAAUAAAGCCGGAUGGAUGCCUUUUCCCCUCAUCUUUGGUGAGGACAUGGGUGGCUCUAUCUAUGUAUGGGUUAAGGCACCUGGCGGUCACCUCUCUGAACCUUUAUCUAUUAAACAUUUUACUUUAUGCUCCCACC
This is a long non-coding RNA of Peromyscus eremicus (cactus mouse), 1009 nucleotides long. RefSeq lists it as uncharacterized. The transcript is spliced from 5 exons. The record is from RefSeq and is a predicted model, not a curated record. Lineage: Eukaryota; Metazoa; Chordata; Mammalia; Rodentia; Cricetidae.